This 253-nucleotide ribosomal RNA is filed under the name uncultured bacterium. RNAcentral's name for it is "partial 16S ribosomal RNA". It matches the Rfam family "Bacterial small subunit ribosomal RNA", at positions 524 to 776 of the family's 1533-position model. The record is from RNAcentral.
UACAGAGGGUGCGAGCGUUAAUCGGAAUUACUGGGCGUAAAGCGCGCGUAGGCGGCUUUGCAAGUCGGGUGUGAAAUCCCCAGGCUUAACCUGGGAACUGCAUUCGAGACUGCAUUGCUAGAGUUCGGGAGAGGGAAGCGGAAUUCCGGGUGUAGCGGUGAAAUGCGUAGAUAUCCGGAGGAACACCGGUGGCGAAGGCGGCUUCCUGGACCGACACUGACGCUGAGGCGCGAAAGCUAGGGGAGCAAACGGG